This 1333-nucleotide long non-coding RNA is filed under the name Macaca mulatta (Rhesus monkey). Its description in RNAcentral is "lncRNA (ENSMMUG00000051884.1)". Lineage: Eukaryota; Metazoa; Chordata; Mammalia; Primates; Cercopithecidae. The record is from RNAcentral.
CCCCAUGAUAGGCCCUGGUGUGUGAUGUCCCCCUUCCCGAGUCCAAGUGAUCUCGUUGUUCAGUUCCCACCUAUGAGUGAGAACAUGCGGUGUUUGGUUUUCUGUUCUUGUGAUAGUUUGCUAAGAAUGAUGGUUUAUUGCGGCACUAUUCACAAUAGCAAAGACUUGGAAUCAGCCCAAAUGUCCAUCAGUGACAGACUGGAUUAAGAAAAUGUGGCACAUAUACACCAUGGAAUACUAUGCAGCCAUAAAAAAGGAUGAGUUUGUGUCCUUUGUAGGGACAUGGAUGCAGCUGGAAAGUACAUUCUGUUUCUAGGGCAGCAUGACAACAGAGCCCCAACUGUCAGGCCAUUCUCCCUAUCUCAGCAUGUUACGUACCCAGCUGUUCUAGUGAUUAUUGAGAACUACAGGCAAGAAGGGCGCUGGGAGAAGGUCAGUUGGAUGCCUUCUGGAGAACUGUCCUUCCAAGGUGGAGAAAAUGGCAGGAAAAAGAGGAAACACAGAAGGCAGGCUUGCAACCAGGUCUUAUCCAGAAGAUAACAAGCGUAUGUAGAGAUAAUGGGAUCAAAAUAAUGAAGCCUUCCAGUAAACACACCAUUCAGCAAAUUCCCAGGUGCUCAGCACAAAGGAAGAAGUGGCAGGCAGGCUCCUUCAUCUGGAUCUAGGAGACAACAGAGCUCCUUGGAACUCAAGAGCCUUUGGGGAGCAUCUCCUGGAAGAGCGAAUGAUCAGCUUCUCCACAGUGGAACAAUAGCAUAUAAAGGUUAGUGCUGUUUCACGUGGGAAAGUUAAAUGAGAAAGAGAACUUAGUCAUUAAUUCCUGCUUGGACCCACAGAUUCCUUAUGUGGGGUGACAGGUGUCAAGAUUGGGGGUCAAAGCAGGCAGGGCUGUGGCCAGGGAUUCUGGGAAGGGCUCUCUAUCAAUCCCAGGUGACUUUUGGAAAAUGCAGGUGGCUCCUGAUGAAAACAGUCAUCAGCUGCCUUAAAAACACUGAAAUAUUCAAUGUGUUGCCAAGUUUUCCAUUUGAGGGGAGCAGAGUGAUGAAUGCAGUGCCUCUCAGGCGUUAAUGACAGGAGUCAUUCGGUGGGGAGGAGGCUGUUAAAAUGCACAGUCUGAUUCAGCAAGUGGGGCGGUACAUUGCAUUCGUGACACAAUCUCAGGUGAUGCCUGUGCUGCCAGUCUGGACCACUGUCUGAGUAACAAAGCUUCAAAGAGCCCCUCUUGCAGCAGCAGGACACAAUGCAUUGAUCGACUCUGCCUUUGCUUCAAAGGGGACUAUUAACAAAGGCACUUGAAUUCCCUGACAUGGAUUCCUCAGCUAUAACACGGAAA